This 253-nucleotide ribosomal RNA is filed under the name uncultured prokaryote. RNAcentral describes it as "partial 16S ribosomal RNA". It matches the Rfam family "Bacterial small subunit ribosomal RNA", at positions 524 to 776 of the family's 1533-position model. The record is from RNAcentral.
GACGUAGGGCGCGAGCGUUGUCCGGAUUUAUUGGGCGUAAAGAGCUCGUAGGCGGCUUGUCGCGUCGACUGUGAAAACCCGCGGCUCAACUGCGGGCCUGCAGUCGAUACGGGCAGGCUAGAGUUCGGUAGGGGAGACUGGAAUUCCUGGUGUAGCGGUGAAAUGCGUAGAUAUCAGGAAGAACACCAGUGGCGUAGGCGACUAACUGGGCCGUAACUGACGCUGAGGAACGAAAGCCAGGGGAGCGAAUGGG